RNAcentral lists this ribosomal RNA (799 nucleotides) under uncultured Bacillota bacterium. RNAcentral describes it as "bacterial SSU rRNA". It matches the Rfam family "Bacterial small subunit ribosomal RNA", at positions 75 to 895 of the family's 1533-position model. Lineage: Bacteria; Bacillati; Bacillota. The record is from RNAcentral.
GCCCGCAAGGGUGAGUAAAGUGGCGUACGGGUGAGUAACACGUGGGUAAUCUACCUUUUGGUGGGGAAUAACCCUGGGAAACCGGGGCUAAUACCGCAUAAGCUCGUCACUAUAGAGGUGACGCGGAAAGGAGCAAUUCGCCGAAGGAGGAGCCCGCGGCUGAUUAGCUAGUUGGUAGGGUAAAGGCCUACCAAGGCUAUGAUCGGUAGCCGGCCUGAGAGGGCACACGGCCACACUGGCACUGAAACACGGACCAGACUCCUACGGGAGGCAGCAGUGGGGAAUCUUGCACAAUGGGGGAAACCCUGAUGCAGCGACGCCGCGUGAGUGAUGAAGCCCUUCGGGGUGUAAAGCUCUUUCGGCAGGGACGAUAAUGACAGUACCUGAAGAAGAAGCUGCGGCUAACUACGUGCCAGCAGCCGCGGUAAUACGUAGGCAGCGAGCGUUGUUCGGAGUUACUGGGCGUAAAGAGUGCGUAGGCGGUUUUCUAAGUUUGGUGUGAAAUCUCCCGGCUUAACUGGGAGGGUGCGCCGAAGACUGGAAGGCUAGAGUAUGGGAGAGGUAAGCGGAAUUCCUGGUGUAGCGGUGAAAUGCGUAGAUAUCAGGAGGAACACCUGCGGUGUAGACGGCUUACUGGACCAUAACUGACGCUGAGGCACGAAAGCGUGGGUAGCAAACAGGAUUAGAUACCCUGGUAGUCCACGCCCUAAACGAUGCAUACUUGGUGUGGGUAGUUCAUUCUAUCCGUGCCGGAGCUAACGCGUUAAGUAUGCCGCCUGGGGAGUACGGUCGCAAGGCU